Molecule: ribosomal RNA, 253 nt
Filed under: uncultured bacterium
Lineage: Bacteria
Description: partial 16S ribosomal RNA
Rfam family: Bacterial small subunit ribosomal RNA
Source: RNAcentral
UACGUAGGGACCGAGCGUUGUCCGGAAUCAUUGGGCGUAAAGAGCGUGUAGGCGGCUUGCUAAGUCUUGCGUGAAAUCUCGGGGCUCAACCCCGAGCGGUCGUGGGAAACUGGCAGGCUAGAGUGCGGGAGAGGAGAAUGGAAUUCCUGGUGUAGCGGUGAAAUGCGCAGAUAUCAGGAGGAACACCGAUGGCGAAGGCAGGUCUCUGGGCCGAUACUGACGCUGAGGAGCGAAAGCGUGGGGAGCGAACAGG